RNAcentral lists this non-coding RNA (46 nucleotides) under Schistosoma mattheei. Lineage: Eukaryota; Metazoa; Platyhelminthes; Trematoda; Strigeidida; Schistosomatidae. The record is from RNAcentral.
CCACUGCUGAGGAGUCCCAUACUAGGACGAAACGGCUGUACAGUGC